UACUAUGUUACGACUUAUCUUUCCUUAGUAGAAAGAGCGACGGGCGAUGUGUGCAUAUUUUAGAGCUAAAAUCAACUUUUUUAUCUUUAAAAAUUUACUAUCAAAUCCAUUUUCAUUAAAUUUUUCAAAUUUAAAUCCAAAAAUAUUUUUAUUGUAACCCAUCUCUACUUAAAUAUAAACUACACCUUGAUCUGAUAUAAAUUUUAAUAAAAAUUAUAGAAAAUUAUUAUUCUAAUAAAAUAUUCUAAUAACGACGGUAUAUAAAUUGAAAACAAAUUUAAGUAAGGUACAACGUGGAUUAUCGAUUACAGGACAGGUUCCUCUGAAUAGACUAAAAUACCGCCAAAUUUUUUAAGUUUCAAGAACUUAACUACUACUACCUUAGUGUUUAAAUUUACAUUUUAAAUAAUAGGGUAUCUAAUCCUAGUUUA
RNAcentral lists this ribosomal RNA (431 nucleotides) under Haywardina cuculi. RNAcentral describes it as "partial 12S ribosomal RNA". The record is from RNAcentral. Lineage: Eukaryota; Metazoa; Arthropoda; Insecta; Diptera; Tephritidae.